AACAAAGAAAAACAUACCCCGCCCGCACAGUAAGGUUGGAACUUUAGAAGCCUAAAGUUGAGUCAGGGUUCGGCUCAGGUGGUGAUCGGGAGUGGCAAACCGGCUAGUUGUGGAGGCAAGCAGCCAAUUGCAGAUUAGUUCAAUGGACUCUCUUAAUCCAACUAGUUGGUGAUUGUUGGAGCUAAGAACUGAAGACUAUGUGUAGCAGUGAACUAUUUUAUGAAAAUUUGCUCUAUUGUGCUUUUUUAGGGUUGUAAACUUGGUAAUCAUGAGACUAUUUAAGAAUGUAUUUGGAGUCUUUAUUUUCUCAUAUUUUAGUUUGAUGAAUUGUUGAGAGAUUUGAUAUUUAAAUGUUGUGUUGAAGGUUUGGUUUAUUAUAUUUGGAUAUAUAGUUAUGCUCUA
Molecule: long non-coding RNA, 402 nt
Organism: Quercus robur (English oak)
Lineage: Eukaryota; Viridiplantae; Streptophyta; Magnoliopsida; Fagales; Fagaceae
Exons: 2
Source: RefSeq, a predicted model, not a curated record